Molecule: long non-coding RNA, 722 nt
Filed under: Monodelphis domestica (gray short-tailed opossum)
Lineage: Eukaryota; Metazoa; Chordata; Mammalia; Didelphimorphia; Didelphidae
Description: lncRNA (ENSMODG00000032994.2)
Source: RNAcentral
CAAGGGCUUUAACCAUUUUAUCUGAUUCAAAGGCUAUACCAGCUCAGUAUUGAGGAGAGAGGCCAUGGCUUCCACAAGGAGUAGUAUUAGGAAACCAAGCCUUUAUGAUGUCAGAUUCUUUGUUUCAUAGAAGAGUUCUUUUCCUGGUAGCCUUCAAUCUGCCUUAAUGGCUUAUCUACUAUCUAGAUGUGAGACUAUUGGGAUGUAUAUGACUCAAGGAUGUUUAAAGAAGGCAAAUGAUGUCCUGUUGAUAGAGGCAUCUCAGGAGAAUGCUGCCAGAAGUGCUGAGGCAGGUGUUGGACAGGCACCAGGCAGGAUUUCAUCGGAAAGAAGAUAUUAAUGGUCAUUAAAUAAAAUCACCGUGGCUCUUCCCUGCCUUUCUUUCUUUGGAUGUGGAUAGUGUUCUUUCUCAUAAGUUCCUCUGGAUUGUUCCGGAUCAUGUGAUAUAGACUUUGAAUGACAGAGGCUGGAAGAAAUGCAAAGGUGUUGGAAUCUUGAGGGAAGAGGAGAUUCCAGGGGAUAGGCAGAUGGUCUCUCUCUCUCUAUCCUGAGACAGCAAUGGGGAAAGUCUGAUCUAAGUCUGGAUCCUAUGUAACAUACAAAAUCCCUCAUUGAACCUUAUCACCAUUUCCCACCAAAGAUACCAAGAAGUGUGACAGAAAUUGGAGAAGAAUAAGAAGCAGCCUAACAAGAUCUUGCACAGCUUCUUGACACUCUGGGUC